RNAcentral lists this ribosomal RNA (831 nucleotides) under Neurospora tetraspora. Its description in RNAcentral is "eukaryotic LSU rRNA". It matches the Rfam family "Eukaryotic large subunit ribosomal RNA", at positions 74 to 938 of the family's 3401-position model. The record is from RNAcentral. Lineage: Eukaryota; Fungi; Ascomycota; Sordariomycetes; Sordariales; Sordariaceae.
AUUGCCCUAGUAACGGCGAGUGAAGCGGCAACAGCUCAAAUUUGAAAUCUGGCUUCGGCCCGAGUUGUAAUUUGUAGAGGAAGCUUUUGGUGAGGCACCUUCUGAGUCCCCUGGAACGGGGCGCCAUAGAGGGUGAGAGCCCCGUAUAGUCGGAUGCCGAUCCAAUGUAAAGCUCCUUCGACGAGUCGAGUAGUUUGGGAAUGCUGCUCAAAAUGGGAGGUAAAUUUCUUCUAAAGCUAAAUACCGGCCAGAGACCGAUAGCGCACAAGUAGAGUGAUCGAAAGAUGAAAAGCACUUUGAAAAGAGGGUUAAAUAGCACGUGAAAUUGUUGAAAGGGAAGCGUUUGUGACCAGACUUGCGCCGUUCCGAUCAUCCGGUGUUCUCACCGGUGCACUCGGGACGGCUCAGGCCAGCAUCGGUUUUGGCGGGGGGACAAAGGUCCUGGGAACGUAGCUCCUCCGGGAGUGUUAUAGCCCAGGGCGUAAUGCCCUCGCCGGGACCGAGGUUCGCGCAUCUGCAAGGAUGCUGGCGUAAUGGUCAUCAACGACCCGUCUUGAAACACGGACCAAGGAGUCAAGGUUUUGCGCGAGUGUUUGGGUGUAAAACCCGCACGCGUAAUGAAAGUGAACGUAGGUGAGAGCUUCGGCGCAUCAUCGACCGAUCCUGAUGUAUUCGGAUGGAUUUGAGUAAGAGCGUUAAGCCUUGGACCCGAAAGAUGGUGAACUAUGCUUGGAUAGGGUGAAGCCAGAGGAAACUCUGGUGGAGGCUCGCAGCGGUUCUGACGUGCAAAUCGAUCGUCAAAUCUGAGCAUGGGGGCGAAAGACUAAUCGA